Molecule: small nucleolar RNA, 87 nt
Organism: Brienomyrus brachyistius
Lineage: Eukaryota; Metazoa; Chordata; Actinopteri; Osteoglossiformes; Mormyridae
Product: small nucleolar SNORD12/SNORD106
Exons: 1
Source: RefSeq, a predicted model, not a curated record
GCUAUCUAUGAUGACUGAAUUUUUUCCCCGGCAGAUCGUCCCUGGUGACUUUUUAUAAAUUAAGCCAAUUUUGUCUGAUAAGAUGGC